RNAcentral lists this ribosomal RNA (643 nucleotides) under uncultured bacterium. RNAcentral's name for it is "bacterial SSU rRNA". It matches the Rfam family "Bacterial small subunit ribosomal RNA", at positions 201 to 847 of the family's 1533-position model. The record is from RNAcentral.
UUAAAGGUAUUCCGGUAGACGAUGGGGAUGCGUUCCAUUAGAUAGUAGGCGGGGUAACGGCCCACCUAGUCUUCGAUGGAUAGGGGUUCUGAGAGGAAGGUCCCCCACAUUGGAACUGAGACACGGUCCAGACUCCUACGGGAGGCAGCAGUGAGGAAUAUUGGUCAAUGGGCGAGAGCCUGAACCAGCCAAGUAGCGUGAAGGAUGACUGCCCUAUGGGUUGUAAACUUCUUUUAUAAAGGAAUAAAGUCGGGUAUGGAUACCCGUUUGCAUGUACUUUAUGAAUAAGGAUCGGCUAACUCCGUGCCAGCAGCCGCGGUAAUACGGAGGAUCCGAGCGUUAUCCGGAUUUAUUGGGUUUAAAGGGAGCGUAGAUGGAUAUUUAAGUCAGUUGUGAAAGUUUGCGGCUCAACCGUAAAAUUGCAGUUGAUACUGGAUAUCUUGAGUGCAGUUGAGGCAGGCGGAAUUCGUGGUGUAGCGGUGAAAUGCUUAGAUAUCACGAAGAACUCCGAUUGCGAAGGCAGCCUGCUAAGCUGCAACUGACAUUGAGGCUCGAAAGUGUGGGUAUCAAACAGGAUUAGAUACCCUGGUAGUCCACACGGUAAACGAUGAAUACUCGCUGUUUGCGAUAUACUGCAAGCGGC